UCGAAGUAAAAAAGAAAAAUAAGAAUUGUUAUACGGAUCAAAAAACAGAAAAACUUAUAUUGGUAAUAAAUUAAUAGAAUAUAAACUAAUAUAACUCUAUUUUGAUACAAUCAUAUAGGAGUUAAAUUAUAUGUUUUUAAUAUUUCAAUUAUGAAGUUUGUAAUAUUUUUUAUGCAAGUCCUAUAAACUAUAUAUUAAAAAAUUGAAAUUAUUUUGAAAUUUUGGUACGAUACAUUUUGGGGCAUUUGCUUUUUCUUUAGUUUGAUUCAUGAAUAAAAAGAGAUGCAUUGCAGUAUACAGGUAUGUGGAUUUUCUGGGACCCAUUCCGAUAAAAAAAAAUUUGAGACAAGGCCCAAACCCUCAGGGUCACUUCUGAAGCAGUGGUGUGGCCAAUCAUCCCAUGAUGUUCUGUGCAGUUUGUAUCGACAUAUUCACCCCCUCUUUACACCCAAGCUGAAGUCUAUCAAAAUUUAUAUUCUCCUCUUCAAGAAGACAGCGACUCAAUCUGAAUUAUAAGUUGGUAUAAGUCCUUUCGCGUGUUGGCGGUUGGCCAUUUCAAGACUCCUUCAGACUAUGAUAUCUGUUUCUCUUAGCUUUGAGCCAGUGCUG
This 609-nucleotide long non-coding RNA is filed under the name Panax ginseng (ginseng). RNAcentral describes it as "long non-coding RNA (PGIN_LNC015890)". Lineage: Eukaryota; Viridiplantae; Streptophyta; Magnoliopsida; Apiales; Araliaceae. The record is from RNAcentral.